Molecule: RNA transcript, 4646 nt
Organism: Lycium ferocissimum
Lineage: Eukaryota; Viridiplantae; Streptophyta; Magnoliopsida; Solanales; Solanaceae
Gene name: pre-mRNA-processing factor 39-2
Exons: 13
Source: RefSeq, a predicted model, not a curated record
GCAAAUCACCAAAGACAAAAGUAUUUUUAGGCCAAAAAACAAAGAAAGGACAUAACUAUUUCAGGACAUUUUUUACCCUUUCCAGUUUCCAUUCCACCUGCCGGAGACGCUACACACAGUCACACACCCAAAGUGCACUUAUUGGUGGCUUCCAACAGACUUCUCCAGCUAUGGAGCUACACAAUCACAAUGCUCCUGAUGGACCUCAUCUUGUUCAAGUUCAUAAUGAAAGACUUAAGGAUAUGAUUUCUGGAGGCUCAGAAGACCUUGAUUCCUGGAACUCACUGAUAUCAGAGAUUGAGAAAACCUACCCUGAUGAUAGAAAUACGAUUUGUUUGGCUUUUGACUCCUUUUUGUCUAAAUUUCCACUGUGCCACUGGAAUUGGAAAAGAUAUGCUUAUCACGAGGCACGGCUAUGUAAUGCUGAAAAAGCUGUUGAAAUCUUUGAGCGAGCUGUGGAAUCAACACCAUUUUCUGUUGGUCUGUGGGUUGACUAUUGUACCUUUGCUAUGAGUUCGUUCGAGGAUCCAUUUGAUAUUCGUAGGUUAUUUACCAAAGGAAUCUCCCUUGUUGGGAAGGACUACUUCUGUCAUGUCUUAUGGGACAAGUACAUGUCCUUUGAGUUCUCUCAGGAGAAGUGGGGUUCCCUUGCUCUAGUUUAUGUACAGGCUCUAUGCUUUCCCACAAAGAAGUUGCAUAAGUACUACGAGAAUUUUAAGAAGCUUGUAACCAAUUUAGAAGAGGAGAUUCUACAUCUCAGCGAUGACAGCCGUGAUGUACAACUAAAAGAGCUAUCCAGUGCAACAGCUGUGUUAUCGAAUAAAGAAAUUGUUCAAGUUGUUAAGGACCUCCAGGAUCCUAGUGAUGAUUCAGUCAGGUUGAAAGCACUAUAUAAGUACAGAUACUGUGGAGAUCAGCUGUACCAGAAAGCUUGUCAACUAGAGGAAAAAAUUAAAAGUUUUGAAUCAAACAUCCAGAGGCGAUAUUUCCAGGCAACUCCUCUUGACAAUGAUGAGCUGAAGAACUGGCAUGAUUAUCUCGACUUCAUCGAAAAACAAGACGAUUUUGAUUGGGCCCUAAAACUUUAUGAGAGGUGCUUGAUAUCCUGUGCCAACUACCCCGAGUUCUGGAUACGUUAUGUGGAUUUCAUGGAGACUAAGGGAGGACGAGAGCUAUCGAUGUUUGCUUUAGAACGAGCAACAAAAGUUUUCUCAAAGAAUGUUCCAGAAAUCCAUCUUUUUACUGCUAGAUAUAUGGAGCAAAUUGGAGAUCCAGAUGGUGCUCGUGCUUCCUUUCCUCCUAUUAAUACAGAUUGGGACUCCUGUUUCAUUCAAUAUGUUACCAAUCGAGCAAAUAUGGAAAAACGUCUGGGAAAUUGCUCAGCUGCUUCUGAUAUCUACAAAAGAGCAAUUAAUAUGGCAGUGAAGGAGCAGAAAUUGCAAUGCAUUCCAAUGCUAUACAUUGGUUAUUAUCGCCUAACACACAUGAUCACUGCUAGUCUGGAGGUUGCAAGAGAUGUAAUAAUUGAUGGAAUAAAGCGUUUCCCUGGUUGCAGACUUCUUUAUGAGGAAUUGAUAAGAUUUGCGAUGGCACAUGAAGGAACUAAGCAACUGAGCAUAGUAGACUCUGUCAUAGCUAAUGCAAUCUCUCCUGUGUCAGAUGUAUCCCAAGAUUUGGAUAUAAAAGAUCGAGAGAGUAUUUCUAUAUUAUUUUUGGAGUUUGUUGAUCUUUGUGGUUCUAUCUCUGAGAUAAGAAAGGCAUGGAGUCGUCACAUCAAAUUGUUUCCUCAGUUCAUAAGAACCAAUACCUCAUCGAAUCAUAUAGGUACUGAGAAGAGUUCACUGAACAGCUUUACUGAACAAAGGAGAAACAUUUCCUAUGUCUUAGUUAAUCAGCCAUCAAAAGGACCAAGCUCUGACCACAUGAUCCAGCUGUCCAAAGGAGAGCAGGCGCAGUUACUGCCGCUUAAAGAUGGGAAGCAACCAGAUCAGCUUUCUGCAGAGCCGUCUGUAGCUGUGGUCAAGGGAAAAGAUGCAACUGGUAAACAAGAACAGAUAUCUCCCGAAGUGGAAGAUUUAUCCAGUGGAAAUGGCUCUGGGAAAAAUGAGUUAUCUUUUGACCCUCUUGUUCAAUCAAAGGAUGAUUCCUCAACGCCAAUGGAACUAAGUCAUGGUCCAUCACAGCAGAGGAGAGACGAUUUGCCUGGACCAAUGGACUUCUCUUAUGAUUCCAUACCGCAACCUGGAGAAGAUGUAUCCAAGUCUCCUGGGCCAGUUCUGGACUUUAAAGAGCCCUCAAGGCCCCUUUCUGUUUUAGAAACCUCACAAGAACGUCCAAGUUCAGAAAUUAUCAAUCAAGUUCAGGAUGUUGAACUUGAACAGCCACCGGUGCCGGUUUCUUUGGAGAAUCUUUCCUUGAUCUCUGAGGAAAUGGAAUCCCAGGAUUUGGUCGCCAUGCAUUCUGAUGAUCUUAAAGGUGGUGAAGAAAUUCGCUCAUCAAGCACAGGCAUACCACCAGAUCCUGUAAAUGAUGGAGAUGGACCAGCUAGCUGUUCAUCUCCAGGUCCUGUUACUGCAGGAAGUUCACAGCAAAUAUAUGAUACAGCAGCAGUUCCUGAGAGCGGUAGUUCAAAGGUGUCCAAUCAACCGGCAGGAUAUGAUCAGCAACAGCAAUCACAACGAGCUGAUUCGCAAGAACCGCGCUUGCUUGAUUCUCAGGGUGAUUCGCAGUUCCAACAGGUCCUGGAUAAGGCUCCUGUCCAUAGUCAAUCAGGUACUUCUCAGGGGAAUAUCCCGAGUAAUGAAUGCUGGACAUUAAAUAAUAUGCCACAGCAGAUCUCCAUGUCUGGAAACCAUCUCCAGGCGUCUUCCUCGCCUGUUUCUUAUUCUCAACCAAGUCCAGCUCAUUAUUCUGUGCACAAUAGCCAGCAAAUUGGGCCCAAUCCCCAUCACGAAGCCUUGAAUCAAACAUCACAACACAUCUCCCUAUCAGAAAACCACCCUCAAAUGUCUUCCCCACAUGCUUCUUUUUCUGAACCUAGUACACCUCAACAUUCUGGGCAGAGUAGCCAGCAAAUUGGGCCUUCACACCACCAGGAAGCAUUGAAUCAAACAUCACAAAACUAUUACCAGCAACAGCAUCUUUCGCACGGACAGUAUCAACAGCAUCAGUUGCAAAUGCAACAGCCCUAUACUAGUAUACAGCAGCAACAGAUGCAUCCACAUCCAAGUCAACUGCUGUAUCAGCAGCAGCAGCUUAAUCUGCAACAACAACAGCAACAGAGUCAGCAGCAAACACUUCUAUUGCAACAGCAACAGUAUUUCCAGCAAAUUCAGUCUUUACCGUAUCAACAGCAGCAAUAUCUUCACCAGCUACAAUAUUCACAGCAGGCACAGCAACUAUGGCAACAGCAGUUUCAACAGCAAGCACAACAGACGCAACCACAGGAAGGCCAGCAAAUGCAGCAGCAGCUAGAGCAAUAUCGUCAGUCACAAGAACUUGCAUACCAGAUGCAACAGCAUGGUUAUCAACUACUCAUGCACCAGUACCAAGUACGUCAACAAGGAUGUCAGAGCAUGCGACAACAACAACAACAAUGGCAACAACAGGGAAAUCUCCAAUUGCAGCAAUACUCUCACCUACAACAGCAGCAAUAUCAUCAUCUGGAGCAGCAAACAGACGAGGAAUACAAUCAAACUCAUCAGGGUGAACACGUUGCGGUGCAAUAUUCUUCAGGAACUCCUGCUGCUGAAUCAGAAUCACCAGAAAUUGCCAAGGAACCACAUUCGGCAGAAAAAUUUAGACGUUCUGUAUCCCCUUAUAGGCGGCCUCCUACUCGUGGAAUCUCACCUUCUCAUAGUACAGCCACGUUGGCAUCAGAGGCUUCUUCAUUUUCGAGGACAAAUUCUUCCCGAGAUCAGUAAAGUUUUAGUAUGUCCCUGCCUCAGUUACUCUUGCUGAAGAAUUGUUUGUAGUAGUAAACUGAGUUCUCUAUAUCCUUUGAAUGUCAAAGUAGAGUCACAAAUGGAAGUUGCAUAGAAAGAAGGUGUUGACAUUGAAAAUAGAAGAGACUAAUAAAGCAGGCAUUGGAGGUAUUCUCAGAGACAGUGAAGGUGAUAUUAUUAUGGCAUUUUCUGUUCCUGUAGAAUGUGAUAGUAACAACUAUGCUGAGGCGAUGGCUGCAGAAUAUGGUGUGUGUUGGUGCAUACAACAUGGUUUCAAUAAUCUUCUAUUGGAAUUGGACUCUCAAAUCAUCACAAACACGCUGCUCAAAAAAGACACUGAAAAUCUGAAACUUAAGCAGAAGCUAAUAGAGUAGCUGAUUACUUUGCUAAGUUGGCGUCAACAAGCGAAAGGAGGACCUUGUUUCUUUCUCAAAGGGAUCUGCCAAGAGAAGCUAAGGGGCUAAUUCAACUUGAUAAGUGGCAACUUCCUACCUUUAGAAGAAGAUCUGAAAAAUGUAAUUUCUUUGUUAGUUAAUCUUUUUGUAUAGCAUGGAAGGAUACUGUUUUGGCUAAUCCUUCCUUUAGGUUGCUUUGUUUGUCAAUCUCUUUUGUAGAUUAGAGGUAAGGUUUCAUGUUCCCCUCUAAUCAUUGCGAGUUAUUCACUUAUAAUAUAACAUGGUAGGGGUCAAGCUAAACCCCUCA